CCUACGGGGCGCACCAGUGGGGAGUAUUGGACAAUGGGCGAAAGCCUGAUCCAGCAAUGCCGCGUGUGUGAAGAAGGUCUUCGGAUUGUAAAGCACUUUCGACGGGGACGAUGAUGACGGUACCCGUAGAAGAAGCCCCGGCUAACUUCGUGCCAGCAGCCACGGUAAUACGAAGGGGGCUAGCGUUGCUCGGAAUGACUGGGCGUAAAGGGCGCGUAGGCGGUUUAUGCAGUCAGAUGUGAAAUCCCCGGGCUUAACCUGGGAACUGCAUUUGAGACGCAUAGACUAGAGGUCGAGAGAGGGUUGAGGAAUUCCCAGUGUAGAGGUGAAAUUCGUAGAUAUUGGGAAGAAAACCGGUGGCGAGGGCGGCAACCUGGCUCGUUACUGACGCUGAGGCGCGAAAGCGUGGGGAGCAAACAGGAUUAGAUACCCUGGUAGUC
RNAcentral lists this ribosomal RNA (440 nucleotides) under uncultured bacterium. RNAcentral describes it as "bacterial SSU rRNA". It matches the Rfam family "Bacterial small subunit ribosomal RNA", at positions 338 to 795 of the family's 1533-position model. The record is from RNAcentral.